AAACUGGAGAGUUUGAUCCUGGCUCAGAACGAACGCUGGCGGCGUGCCUAACACAUGCAAGUCGAACGUGAUUGAGGGGCUUGCUCCUCAUGAAAGUGGCGCACGGGUGAGUAACGCGUAGAUAAUCUGCCUGGUGAUUUGGGAUAACACUUCGAAAGGGGUGCUAAUACCGGAUAAGCCCACGGAGUCCUCGGACUCUGCGGGAAAAGGAGGGGACCUUCGGGCCUUCCGUCAUCAGAUGAGUCUGCGUACCAUUAGCUAGUUGGUAGGGUAAAGGCCUACCAAGGCGACGAUGGUUAGCUGGUCUGAGAGGAUGAUCAGCCACACUGGAACUGAGACACGGUCCAGACUCCUACGGGAGGCAGCAGUGGGGAAUUUUGCGCAAUGGGGGAAACCCUGACGCAGCAACGCC
RNAcentral lists this ribosomal RNA (412 nucleotides) under Geobacter sp. Its description in RNAcentral is "bacterial SSU rRNA". It matches the Rfam family "Bacterial small subunit ribosomal RNA", at positions 1 to 398 of the family's 1533-position model. The record is from RNAcentral. Lineage: Bacteria; Pseudomonadati; Thermodesulfobacteriota; Desulfuromonadia; Geobacterales; Geobacteraceae.